UGCAGUCGAGGGGUAGAAGUCUUCGGACUUUGAGACCGGCGCACGGGUGCGUAACGCGUUUGCAAUCUACCUUUUACAGAGGGAUAGCCCAGAGAAAUUUGGAUUAAUACCUCAUAGUAUUAUGAAAUGGCAUCAUUUUAUAAUUAAAGUCACAACGGUAAAAGAUGAGCAUGCGUCCCAUUAGCUAGUUGGUAAGGUAACGGCUUACCAAGGCUACGAUGGGUAGGGGUCCUGAGAGGGAGAUCCCCCACACUGGUACUGAGACACGGACCAGACUCCUACGGGAGGCAGCAGUGAGGAAUAUUGGACAAUGGGCGCAAGCCUGAUCCAGCCAUGCCGCGUGCAGGAUGACGGUCCUAUGGAUUGUAAACUGCUUUUAUACGAGAAGAAACACUACUUCGUGAAGUAGCUUGACGGUAUCGUAAGAAUAAGGAUCGGCUAACUCCGUGCCAGCAGCCGCGGUAAUACGGAGGAUCCAAGCGUUAUCCGGAAUCAUUGGGUUUAAAGGGUCCGUAGGCGGUUUAAUAAGUCAGUGGUGAAAGCCCAUCGCUCAACGGUGGAACGGCCAUUGAUACUGUUAAACUUGAAUUAUUAGGAAGUAACUAGAAUAUGUAGUGUAGCGGUGAAAUGCUUAGAGAUUACAUGGAAUACCAAUUGCGAAGGCAGGUUACUACUAAUGGAUUGACGCUGAUGGACGAAAGCGUGGGUAGCGAACAGGAUUAGAUACCCUGGUAGUCCACGCCGUANACGAUGGAUACUAGCUGUUGGAAGCAAUUUCAGUGGCUAAGCGAAAGUGAUAAGUAUCCCACCUGGGGAGUACGUUCGCAAGAAUG
RNAcentral lists this ribosomal RNA (833 nucleotides) under uncultured bacterium. RNAcentral's name for it is "bacterial SSU rRNA". It matches the Rfam family "Bacterial small subunit ribosomal RNA", at positions 56 to 896 of the family's 1533-position model. The record is from RNAcentral.